Molecule: ribosomal RNA, 497 nt
Filed under: uncultured bacterium
Lineage: Bacteria
Description: partial 16S ribosomal RNA
Rfam family: Bacterial small subunit ribosomal RNA
Source: RNAcentral
GAUGAACGCUGGCGGCGUGCCUAAUACAUGCAAGUCGAGCGAACAGACGAGGAGCUUGCUCCUCUGACGUUAGCGGCGGACGGGUGAGUAACACGUGGAUAACCUACCUAUAAGACUGGGAUAACUUCGGGAAACCGGAGCUAAUACCGGAUAAUAUAUUGAACCGCAUGGUUCAAUAGUGAAAGACGGUUUUGCUGUCACUUAUAGAUGGAUCCGCGCCGCAUUAGCUAGUUGGUAAGGUAACGGCUUACCAAGGCAACGAUGCGUAGCCGACCUGAGAGGGUGAUCGGCCCCACUGGAACUGAGACACGGUCCAGACUCCUACGGGAGGCAGCAGUAGGGAAUCUUCCGCAAAGGGCGAAAGCCUGACGGAGCAACGCCGCGUGAGUGAUGAAGGUCUUCGGAUCGUAAAACUCUGUUAUUAGGGAAGAACAAAUGUGUAAGUAACUAUGCACGUCUUGACGGUACCUAAUCAGAAAGCCACGGCUAACUACGUG